UGGGGAAUAUUGGACAAUGGGCGCAAGCCUGAUCCAGCAAUGCCGCGUGUGUGAAGAAGGCCUUCGGGUUGUAAAGCACUUUUAUCAGGAGCGAAACGCUGUCGGCUAAUACCCGGCGGAACUGACGGUACCUGAGGAAUAAGCACCGGCUAACUUCGUGCCAGCAGCCGCGGUAAUACGAAGGGUGCAAGCGUUAAUCGGAAUUACUGGGCGUAAAGCGUGCGUAGGCGGUUUCUUAAGUCUGCUGUGAAAUCCCCGGGCUCAACCUGGGAAUGGCAGUGGAUACUGGGAGGCUAGAGUGUGUCAGAGGGUGGUGGAAUUCCCGGUGUAGCGGUGAAAUGCGUAGAGAUCGGGAGGAACAUCAGUGGCGAAGGCGGCCACCUGGGACAACACUGACGCUGAGGCACGAAAGCGUGGGGAGCAAACAGGAUUAGGAUACCCUGGUAGUCCACGCCCUAAAGCGAUGCGAACUGGAUGUUGGUCUCAACUCGGAGAUCAGUGUCGAAGCUAACGCGUUAAGUUCGCCGCCUGGGGAGUACGGUCGCAAGACUGAAACUCAAAGGAAUUGACGGGGUCAUAGCUGUUUCCUG
This 590-nucleotide ribosomal RNA is filed under the name uncultured bacterium. RNAcentral describes it as "partial 16S ribosomal RNA". It matches the Rfam family "Bacterial small subunit ribosomal RNA", at positions 355 to 1376 of the family's 1533-position model. The record is from RNAcentral.